AGAAAAUGCUCAGUUUGAAUUGGUUUGUAAUAUCUGUUAAUGAUCUUUAAAAAAAUCCACUUAUUCACAAUUCUGUCCCUGGGGGAAUUCCAAUGUGCUAUCAGAAAAAAUUUCUAAAGUCUGAAAUGUCAUUAGCUAGUGAUUUCUUUGAAGUAAAAAGCCCCGAAAAAAAUAAAUUAUAUAAGGUAUACAAGUGCACAGGACAAUCACUUUGAUGAAUAAUAUCUCUUUUUUUCAUAAUGUUUCAUACCUAAAAAUGCAACAAUUGAAAUUCAAGCUGGUAAAUUAUAGAGCCAUCUUUUGAAUUACCUCAAUGUAGGCAUGCCUUCGGUUUAUUUCUCACAUAUAUUGAGUUCUUCCAUAUAUUUAUAGAUUGUUGAUAUAAGAACAGUAGUGUUAGGAACAAUUUUGAUUAUAUUCAUUGUGUUUACUUUUUGGAAACACAAAGUGUUGCCUAAAUACAGGCAUACAGGUGUUGCCAUCCGGGGAUUAAAACAAUAGCCUAUUUCAAUAUUCCAUCCUGGAUCCCAGAGCCAGGUGCCGUGAAUGGAGGUGCAAAUGCUACUCAGCCCGGGAGAGUUGUUCAAUAUUAGAUAACAGAGCCAUGAAAUACUACACCAAAGGGAAAAUUUUCUUCCUGACCCCAGCUGGUGAUCAGUUUUUGCCUGGAAGCAGGGGAGUCUUUGUAAUACAAUACUUGUCAAUGUUGUUGGUUUGGCUGCUAUAAAUAGCUAUUUUUUUUGGAUGAUGGGAGGAGUUGGAUUUUACUAAACCAGUGGCUACAGGUUAAUUAUACAUUUCAUAAAAAAGCAUUUCUCGUAGCCAGUCUAAAUUUGUUACGUUUUAAUCCCGUUUUAUAUAAGGCUGGAAAUAUAUGAGCCUCCAGCAGGCCCGUUAUUUUUGUCAUUAUUUUAUACAUUGGACCUUCAGCUCUCUAUCUCUCUUUUUUUCUUUUUCCUCUCUAUGCAUUACUCACCUCUUAGCUAAAUUGCAGAGGGUCCCAGUUUCAUUCAUUCUCCCUCACAGGGAAGGCAUUCUCUUCCUCUUCCUCCAGCUGCCCGAAAAUCAUAAGCGUGGUUUUUCCUGUUUCCUGCUCUGUAGCUGACAUCAGGGGAGCAAUGUGAACACAGGAAAAUGGAAAUCAACAUUUGAAACUUUUAAAUGGAAGCUUUAUUGGGUUUCCACAUAUGGAAAACUGCAAAUAGCAGAAGUAUGUGACUCAAUAAAUUAUUCUGGAGUGACCACAUCCUCUAACUGCCUCCCAGGACAAGAAGGAGAAUGUGAACAAUGCUCCUGAAGGCCCCUUUCCCUCAAAGAAUCACUGCAAUUGAAGGAAAAAUGCUCCAUGUCCCCUCUGCCAGUUGGUGUUUAUCAAAGGACAACGGAGGAAGAGAGACAAAGUGCCUGGAUGUGUGUGUUAAUCAAGAGUUGUCAGGACCCUGCCUCUAAAAGAAAGCGCUAAAAUGAUGCUUUUGACAAGACUUUUCUCAAAGUGGAUGCAGUCUAAGGGUUGGAAAACAAGGCCCAAUCAGGCUAGGUCUGACUUGUCGCCUGCUUUUGUAAAUAAAGUUUUAUUGGCUCACAGACACACUUAUUUGUUUCUGUAUUAUCUAUGGCUGCUUUCGCGCCACAACAUGGAGCAGUUGUGGAAGAGACCAUAUGGCCGACAAAGCCUAAGAUAUUUACUCUCUGGCUCUUGAC
This 1701-nucleotide long non-coding RNA is filed under the name Pan troglodytes (chimpanzee). Its description in RNAcentral is "long non-coding RNA NONPTRT010642". The record is from RNAcentral. Lineage: Eukaryota; Metazoa; Chordata; Mammalia; Primates; Hominidae.